RNAcentral lists this ribosomal RNA (273 nucleotides) under uncultured bacterium. Its description in RNAcentral is "partial 16S ribosomal RNA". It matches the Rfam family "Bacterial small subunit ribosomal RNA", at positions 524 to 796 of the family's 1533-position model. The record is from RNAcentral.
UACAGAGGGUGCGAGCGUUGUCCGGAAUCACUGGGCGUAAAGGGCGCGUAGGCGGCUUGGUAAGUAGGGGGUGAAAUCUUGCGGCUCAACUGCAAGGCUGCCUCCUAAACUGUCAGGCUUGAGCACAGUAGAGGCAGGUGGAAUUCCCGGUGUAGCGGUGGAAUGCGUAGAGAUCGGGAAGAACAUCGGUGGCGAAGGCGGCCUGCUGGGCUGUUGCUGACGCUGAGGCGCGACAGCGUGGGGAGCAAACAGGAUUAGAUACCCCCGUAGUCC